UUCACGUGUUGGGUCCUCCUUGGCUGACUCGCCGCCCUCGCCGACGCACCAUGGACUCCCGGAGGCAGGUGGUCAACUUUGGGCCUGGUCCCACCAAGCUGCCGCACUCAGUGUUGUUAGAGAUACAAAAGGAAUUAUUAGACUACAAAGGAGUUGGCAUUAGUGUUCUUGAAAUGAGUCACAGGUCAUCAGAUUUUGCCAAGAUUAUUAACAAUACAGAGAAUCUUGUGCGGGAAUUGCUAGCCGUUCCAGACAACUAUAAGGUGAUUUUUGUGCAAGGAGAUGGGUCUGGCCAGUUCAGUGCUGUCCCCUUAAACCUGACUGGCUUGAAAGCAGGAAGGUGUGUGGACUAUGUGGUGACAGGAGCUUGGUCACCUAAGCCUGCAGAAGCCAAGAAGUUUGGGACUAUAAAUAUUGUUCACCCUAAACUUGGGAGUUAUACAAAAAUUCCAGAUCCAAGCACCUGGAACCUCAACCCGGCUGCCUCCUACGUGUACUAUUGAGCAAAUGAGAUGGUGCAUGGUGUGGAGUUUGAUUUUAUACCCAAUAUCAAGGGAGCAGUACUGGUUUGUGACAAGUCCUCAAACUUCCUGUCCAAGUCAGUGGAUGUUUCCAAGUUUGAUGUGAUUUUUGCUGGUGCCCAGAAGAAUGUUGGCUCUGCUGCAGUCACCGUGGUGAUUGUCCCUGAUGACUUGCUGGGGUUUGACCUCCCAGAGUGCCCCUCGGUCCUGGAAUACAAGGUGCAGGCUGGAAACAGCUCCUUGUACAACAGGCCUCUAUGUUUCGGCAUCUACCUCAUGGGCUUGGUCCCGGAGUGGAUUAAAAACAGUGGAGGUGCCGCGGCCAUGGAGAAACUUAGCUCCAUCAAAUCUCAAAUCUCAAAUGAUUUAUGAGAUUAUUGAUAAUUCUCAAGGAUUCUACGUAUGUCCAGUGGAGCCCCCAAGUAGAAGCAAGAUGAGUAUUCCUUUCUGCAUUGGCAAUGUCAAAGGAGAUGAUGCUCUAGAAAAAAGAUUUGUUGAGAAAGCUCUUGUACUCAAUACGUUGUCCUUGAAAAGGCAUAGGUCUGUGGGAGGCAUCCAGGUCUCUCAGUAUAAUGCUGUCAUGAUUGAAGAUGUUCAGAAACUGGCCGCCUUCAUGAAAAAUUUUUGGGAGAUGCAUCAGCUAUGA
Non-coding RNA from Chlorocebus sabaeus (green monkey), 1167 nucleotides. The record is from RefSeq and is a predicted model, not a curated record. NCBI's taxonomy places the organism in Eukaryota, Metazoa, Chordata, Mammalia, Primates, Cercopithecidae.